ACCUGGGUGGCUCAGUGGUUGAGCAUCUGCCUUUGGCUCAGAUCAUCAUCCCGGGGUCCUGGGAUCGAGUCCCGGAUCAGGCU
Molecule: transfer RNA, 83 nt
Filed under: Canis lupus familiaris (dog)
Lineage: Eukaryota; Metazoa; Chordata; Mammalia; Carnivora; Canidae
Also listed under: 1 other name
Rfam family: tRNA
About the family: Transfer RNA (tRNA) molecules are approximately 80 nucleotides in length. Their secondary structure includes four short double-helical elements and three loops (D, anti-codon, and T loops).
Source: Rfam by way of RNAcentral